GAUGAGAGGAGCUUGCUCCUGGAUUCAGCGGCGGACGGGUGAGUAAUGCCUAGGAAUCUGCCUGGUAGUGGGGGACAACGUUUCGAAAGGAACGCUAAUACCGCAUACGUCCUACGGGAGAAAGCAGGGGACCUUCGGGCCUUGCGCUAUCAGAUGAGCCUAGGUCGGAUUAGCUAGUUGGUGAGGUAAUGGCUCACCAAGGCGACGAUCCGUAACUGGUCUGAGAGGAUGAUCAGUCACACUGGAACUGAGACACGGUCCAGACUCCUACGGGAGGCAGCAGUGGGGAAUAUUGGACAAUGGGCGAAAGCCUGAUCCAGCCAUGCCGCGUGUGUGAAGAAGGUCUUCGGAUUGUAAAGCACUUUAAGUUGGGAGGAAGGGUUGUAGAUUAAUACUCUGCAAUUUUGACGUUACCGACAGAAUAAGCACCGGCUAACUCUGUGCCAGCAGCCGCGGUAAUACAGAGGGUGCAAGCGUUAAUCGGAAUUACUGGGCGUAAAGCGCGCGUAGGUGGUUCGUUAAGUUGGAUGUGAAAUCCCCGGGCUCAACCUGGGAACUGCAUUCAAAACUGUCGAGCUAGAGUAUGGUAGAGGGUGGUGGAAUUUCCUGUGUAGCGGUGAAAUGCGUAGAUAUAGGAAGGAACACCAGUGGCGAAGGCGACCACCUGGACUGAUACUGACACUGAGGUGCGAAAGCGUGGGGAGCAAACAGGAUUAGAUACCCUGGUAGUCCACGCCGUAAACGAUGUCAACUAGCCGUUGGGAGCCUUGAGCUCUUAGUGGCGCAGCUAACGCAUUAAGUUGACCGCCUGGGGAGUACGGCCGCAAGGUUAAAACUCAAAUGAAUUGACGGGGGCCCGCACAAGCGGUGAGCAUGUGGUUAAUUCGAAGCACGCGAAGAACUUACCAGGCUUGACAUCAAUGAACUUUCCAGAGAUGGAUUGGUGCCUUCGGAGCAUUGAGACAGUGCUGCAUGCUGUCGUCAGCUCGUGU
This 992-nucleotide ribosomal RNA is filed under the name bacterium enrichment culture clone SeA9. RNAcentral's name for it is "bacterial SSU rRNA". It matches the Rfam family "Bacterial small subunit ribosomal RNA", at positions 68 to 1065 of the family's 1533-position model. The record is from RNAcentral.